This 396-nucleotide ribosomal RNA is filed under the name uncultured bacterium. RNAcentral describes it as "bacterial SSU rRNA". It matches the Rfam family "Bacterial small subunit ribosomal RNA", at positions 29 to 415 of the family's 1533-position model. The record is from RNAcentral.
AACGAACGCUGGCGGCGCGCCUAAUACAUGCAAGUCGAGCGAGAAGACGUAGCAAUACGUUUGUAAAGCGGCGAACGGGUGAGGAAUACAUGGGUAACCUACCCUCGAGUGGGGAAUAACUAGCCGAAAGGUUAGCUAAUACCGCGUACGCUCCUUGGACUUCGGUUCAGGGAGGAAAGCGAUACCGUGGGUAUCGCGCUCUUGGAUGGGCUCAUGUCCUAUCAGCUUGUUGGGAGGUAACGGCUCACCAAGGCUUCGACGGGUAGCUGGUCUGAGAGGACGAUCAGCCACACUGGCACUGCGACACGGGCCAGACUCCUACGGGAGGCAGCAGUAAGGAAUAUUGCGCAAUGGGCGAAAGCCUGACGCAGCGACGCCGCGUGGGGGAGUGAAGGU